GAGAAACAGAUACAGAUAAAACAGGAUAAACUGAUGAACAGGAGAAACAGAUACAGGAAAAACAGAUAAACAGGAGAAAAAUAUACAGAUAAAACAGGAAAAACAGAUAAACAAGAGAAACAGAUAUACAUAAACGGGAUAAACUGAUGAACAGGAGAAACAGAUACAGAUAAAUGAUAAAAAGAUAAACAGUUAAACAGAUAAACAGGAGAAACAGAUACAGAUAAAACAGGAAAAACAAAUACACAGGAGAAACACACAGAUAAAACAGAAAAACAGAUAAACAGGAGAAACAGAUACCGAUAAACGUGAUAAACAGAUAAACAGAAUACACAGAUGAAAGGGAAAUAAAAAAAACACGGCCCCGGUAAUGAAAAGAUGACUCCCCGGGCCCUCGCUGCCGUCCCUUCCUCCCUUCACUCAGCUUCUUUACCCAACACACAGACGAAGGAAAGGAGAGGGACGGACACACUCACUCCGAUUAGACGUGGGCGCGGCAAAGCUCUUCGGACCCUUUACCUCUCGUGCUCCUGUUUGCUCUCUCCGUCCUGGCUUCUGGCUCCUCAGUGAACAACAAACAUGCUCAUUAACCACCACCCUCACUCACUCACGCUCUUGUAGGCGGACCGUAAUAGGGGCUCUCUCGCUCUCUUUCUCUCUCUCCCUUUCCCCUUCCCUCUCCCUCUCUACUUCUCUCUAAUCUAUAACACGUUUAACACGAGUAUAGUUCACGUUCUUUUUUCUAUCGGUAUUUGGAAGCCACAGAUAUAGGAUCAACCAUAAUUAUCAUCAUUAUCAUCCUACUACCUCCUACCUAUACCAAGAUACACACUACUACCAGCACCCCCACCACUACCACUACUACUAUUACUACUACUACUACUACUACUCUCUCUCUCCUCUUCUUUAAAAAUCUGUAUCACGACUAACAAGAUUAUAACCCACGUUCUUUUCAGUCGAUAUUUAGGCGUCACAAAAUAACGACCAGCUCAAAUUAUCAUCAUUAGAAACGUGUUACCGCAAAAGAUCACGACGUUUCAUUAUGUUUAAUCCUCAGUAAAGUCUCUAGAGGAAUCCAAGAAUCCAAUAACCAUGGCACGCCUUGCUCCUCGGAAUCCCCUCACGUUGAUUAAACUCGAAAUGUGAUGAGCCGGCCUCUUGGUUUAUCAAAUUCCACGCUUUGAUUAAACGGACCGUGAGUCGCGCGCCACCGGAAGCCUCUCGAGCCAGUCACUUAAACGCAAUUUCACGCCCAAUUCAAGCCGCCAAUCGACAUAAAGAGGAAGGUGACUAAGAUACCUCGGGAAAUGAAUUUAAUCCCCUUCCUCUAACUCCCUCUCCGUCAUUAUAGGAUCAGCGCCUUGUGGGAUUUAUUUAAUGCAUUUGUAUAUACUUUUUUUCUACUCCUGGCUUGUCCCCGUUAACGUAAAAAUUAUACACCGUGUUUGUCUAGCUGAUCAGUCUACUCCAUACUUCCCAUAUUAAUAUCAACUCUUACUCCUCCUCCUGCAUGCCUUUCAGUAUUUUAAUUACUCCUCUUUCUUCUCCAUCUCCUCCUCUUUCUCCUCUUUUUCUUCCUUUUCCUCAUCUUUCUCUUCCUCCUCCUCCAUCCCUUCUUCCUCUUUCUCCUUUUCCUGUAUGCCUUUCAGUAUUGUCUUAAAACUUCAUCAGUCGUAACCUGCCACCACACCAAUCUUUUCUAGCUAGUUAUUAACCUCAUUUCCUUGUUUUUCACUCUUCAGGAUGCACACGAGCGUUCGAAAUACCCCAUGCACACCAUUACAAAGUGUAUACCAGUCAGUGUAAGAGGCCUCCUUGAUGUAGCGAACGCCUAAAAGAAAGUCUAUUGAAAUUCUGAUCAACUUCAUAUUCCGUCACACAGCAUGCCCAGCCGUGCCAAACAAAACCCGAUAACAGAUUUCUUGUAGAUUCAUUUUGGUGGUUCGUUGUAUAUUUGCGCGUCUGCACAGUGGAACGGGUCUAUUAAUAUUUGGAUUGAUUUUGUCUUCCGCCACACAACGCAUCUUACAGCACCAAAACCCGAUAACCGACCUCUUGUUGACUCAUUCUGUGGGGUCGGUGGUGUGUAAUGGACGGGUCUGUUUAGCAGGUGCGUCGCGAAACGAGUCUUGCACUUUAUAUUUUGACUUUCUAUUUCGUCAGACAACACAUCCAGUAGCGCCAAAACCCGAUAACCGACCUCUCGUUGACUCAUUCUGUGGGGUCGGUGGUAUACUGAAGCACCUAUACAGCAGGAGGAGAGUCGGCGGAACGAGUCUGAUUGGAACCGCCGUGUCUGCUGAGGGCGCACUUCCUCCUAACCCUAUUUUCGUGGAUCUCGAUCGACGCCAGCAAUUUCGCUCUUAUUGCGUCCUCGUGAGCUCGAGAAUCCAGCCGAGCGCAAAUUAAUGGACUGGCUGGAAGGGUAAGACAAAAUUCCUCGCGUGUUUGCGUUAAUUUACGUCGUCCCGAGUUUCGCUUUUCUUUCUUCCCCGCCGGAAAGAUGCGCCGCCUCGCCCCGCUGACUCGGCACUCACUCGGCGGGCGGCACUUCAAAGCUAUUUUUACGAGCGGAAAAAGACUUUCGUUAAACUCAGACUGACGUGAAUGGGCUGACACACGCACACGCACACACACACACACACACACACACACACACACACACACCAACUUUAUCUUUUUAACGAACGAGGUAUAAAGCUUUUGGUUACUCGGUCUUGUGCCAAAACAUUUACUUAACUUUGACAUGUAUAUAUUUUUCUCUCUUCCGGGGUUAAGUUUUCAGGAGCUCCGUCAACAUAUCUGUUUUAACGCACCGCCACCCAGGUAACUACGGUCUUCCAAUGUCAAUCAAAUUUCCUACCGUCGAUUCCUGCCAUUGAGAGGAAAAUUUAUAGUCUUCAGGCAGUUUUUUUUAUUCACGCAGGCAACUCCAAUGACGUGUGUGUGUGUGUGUGUGUGUGUGUGUGUGUGUGUGUGUAUGUGUAUGAUCAUUAUGGAGCUUCUCGUCCUAUUCCAAUUACGAGGCCGUCUCUGCUUGUGAAGUUAUGGAACGGAUUAGCCCUAAGCCGGGUAAAGGGAGGACAUGCCGUAUUUUGUGUAAGGGGGCUCAUACACGGUCCGAUGAAGAUGAAGACGAAGAAGACGAAAACGGAAACGAAAACGAAGACGAAAAAGAAGAAAAUCAAAAAGUAGAACGAGAAGAAAAAGAACAAGAACAGGAACGAGAACAACAACAAGACAAGAACAAGAAGACGAAGAAGAAGAAAAAAAAGAAAAAAGAAUAAGACGAACACGAA
Long non-coding RNA from Eriocheir sinensis (Chinese mitten crab), 3299 nucleotides. RefSeq lists it as uncharacterized. Lineage: Eukaryota; Metazoa; Arthropoda; Malacostraca; Decapoda; Varunidae. The transcript has 2 exons. The record is from RefSeq and is a predicted model, not a curated record.